GGAUUAGAUACCCUGGUAGUCUAUGCCGUAAACGAUGGGUACUAGUCGGUGCGGGUAUUGACCCCUGCGCUGACGAAGCUAACGCAUUAAGUACCCCGCCUGGGGAGUACGGCCGCAAGGCUAAAACUCAAAGGAAUUGACGGGGGCCCGCACAAGCGGUGGAGCAUGUGGAUUAAUUCGACGCAACGCGCAGAACCUUACCUAGCCUUGACAUGUUAGCGUAUGGUCCCCAAAAGGACCGGACCUUCGGGAACGCUUACACAGGUGCUGCAUGGCUGUCGUCAGCUCGUGCCG
Molecule: ribosomal RNA, 294 nt
Filed under: uncultured bacterium
Lineage: Bacteria
Description: partial 16S ribosomal RNA
Rfam family: Bacterial small subunit ribosomal RNA
Source: RNAcentral